UUUUCACUGUUUGAUU
RNAcentral lists this small RNA (16 nucleotides) under Arabidopsis thaliana (thale cress). RNAcentral's name for it is "ATSL297280". Lineage: Eukaryota; Viridiplantae; Streptophyta; Magnoliopsida; Brassicales; Brassicaceae. The record is from RNAcentral.